CUGCAGCCCGAGUAGUGAUCGAUUUUAUUGAGCCUAAAGCGUCCGUAGCCGGACUAGUAAACCCUUGGGUAAAUUGGGCAGCUUAACUGUCCAAAUUCCGAGGGGACUGCUAGUCUUGGGACCGGGAGAGGUCAGAGGUACUCCAGGGGUAGGGGCUAAAUCCUGUAAUCCUUGGGGGACCACCAGUGGCGAAGGCGUCUGACUAGAACGGAUCCGACGGUAAGGGACGAAACCCUGGGGCGCGAACCGGAUUAGAUACCCGAGUAGUCC
This 270-nucleotide ribosomal RNA is filed under the name uncultured archaeon. Its description in RNAcentral is "partial 16S ribosomal RNA". It matches the Rfam family "Archaeal small subunit ribosomal RNA", at positions 477 to 747 of the family's 1478-position model. The record is from RNAcentral.